Molecule: ribosomal RNA, 468 nt
Filed under: Pseudomonas sp. DCB_PUT
Lineage: Bacteria; Pseudomonadati; Pseudomonadota; Gammaproteobacteria; Pseudomonadales; Pseudomonadaceae
Description: bacterial SSU rRNA
Rfam family: Bacterial small subunit ribosomal RNA
Source: RNAcentral
CCCUACGGGGGGCAGCAGUGGGGAAUAUUGGACAAUGGGCGCAAGCCUGAUCCAGCCAUGCCGCGUGUGUGAAGAAGGCCUUAGGGUUGUAAAGCACUUUCAGUGGGGAGGAAGGGUGUUGUGUUAAUAGUACAGCACUUUGACGUUACCCACAGAAGAAGCACCGGCUAACUCCGUGCCAGCAGCCGCGGUAAUACGGAGGGUGCAAGCGUUAAUCGGAAUUACUGGGCGUAAAGCGCACGCAGGCGGCUUUUUAAGUCGGAUGUGAAAGCCCCGGGCUCAACCUGGGAAUUGCAUCUGAUACUGGGAAGCUAGAGUAUGUGAGAGGGGGGUAGAAUUCCAAGUGUAGCGGUGAAAUGCGUAGAGAUUUGGAGGAAUACCAGUGGCGAAGGCGGCCCCCUGGCACAAUACUGACGCUCAGGUGCGAAAGCGUGGGGAGCAAACAGGAUUAGAUACCCCGGUAGUCCA